AGGUUGUUCUGUCACUGUCAAGCAUUGAGAAAAGUGGCUUAUUUACGCAGGACAUGAUCUGAUCAGCUUGAGGUACUCCCCGGAUAUCAUUUGUCUUCUAGUCUAUUUUCUGUAUUUAGUUUUGGUUCCAAGCAGGCAAGACCAAGAGUUAUGUCGAUGAUGAAGGUACUAAACAACUAUGAGAUGGUGCUGAGUUUGACGCAAUAAAAGGCUCAAUGGUGGUCCUUUUCUUUGGAGAUGAUGGAACAUUAAAAUGAACUUGAUGGUGCUGAGUUUUUUGGAGCGACCGGAAUAACUUCCAUCAUUUCAGAAGUAGCCUAGUCUGGAAAAAAAUGAUCAUCGAUAUUUCAGGCCCCUUAAUUGAAAUUCUAAUCUAUAGUAUAUGACUUCCAUCUUUAUACGAAAUUGAGGACAUUAAUUACACGUUUACAAUCUUCACUGUGCCAUGGUCAAUUGACGGGAGCUGGAAAUGGCAAAGAACGAUUGUUAGUUGAAGGGUCAUGCAGAUAUGGAUAUCGUUAUCGGCAAACAUGGGCACAUCUCUGUGGAUUUGUGAUUCUUUUUCUGGAUUUUUGCCGAAUUCGACUUGGUAUAUGUAGUUGUACCAUGAUUCUGGGGUGUUUUUGUUGUUUUCGGUUUUUUGAAUGGCUUGGGGGGGGGCAUCAGUUCUUAUUUAAUACUUCAUCUAUUUAGCAUUUUUCUUUUGUGAUUUACAACUUAAAUAAGUAUAAUUGUGGAACGUCACCGUCACUGUUUCAUUCAUUAUGAUGUAUGUUACAUUCUAACUUUGGUCAUGCCUGAGAGCUUGUGGUCUCUUGGUGGAGUAACAAAAAUGAAAUAGAAAUCAAGAUAGCUGAUUUAGUAUAGUUUUGGCUGUUCAGUUAGGAGUAGCUGACUGAAGUACAGUUCCACCUGAGAGAGCUGAUGAGAUCAGUCUGAGGGAUUUCACCGCUAGGCUCAGAUUCCUUGGAAAAGGAGCACUCCCUUGGGCAUUCCACAAUUAAUGAAGCAUAUUUUCUUCUUCCUUGGACUUUAUUUUCUAGGACUGAUAUUAUUUUUCUGUGUAUGAAAAUAGAGAACAUGCAUAUUAUUUGUUCCACGUGGAUCGUAGUAGCCUGCAGUGAUGAAAUACGGAGGAUAUUUAUGUUACUCGAAGGAGUAAUAUUUUAUAGAUGGCUUGUGCAGGGGAGGACUCUGCAUUGGGAAGAGUUCUGGAUCAGAGCUGGCGGAGAGCCUUCAGACUGAGGCCCCGUCCUUCUUCCCCUCCUAUGGUUCUCUUUUCUUUCUGAUUAAGAAAGUCCAUUCCGAUGCGUGCCCGUGUUUAACUGGCCACCGCUGGACGUGACGGCGACCAGCAGAAUCAACAAAAACGUUUCUUGACUUCUUUCUGAUCGAGAGACUUCAGCUCCC
RNAcentral lists this long non-coding RNA (1410 nucleotides) under Spirodela polyrhiza (greater duckweed). Its description in RNAcentral is "long non-coding RNA (SPOL_LNC001257)". Lineage: Eukaryota; Viridiplantae; Streptophyta; Magnoliopsida; Alismatales; Araceae. The record is from RNAcentral.